Molecule: ribosomal RNA, 31 nt
Filed under: Flammulina velutipes
Lineage: Eukaryota; Fungi; Basidiomycota; Agaricomycetes; Agaricales; Physalacriaceae
Description: partial 18S ribosomal RNA
Source: RNAcentral
UCCGUAGGUGAACCGUGCGGAAGGAUCAUUA